GACGAACGCUGGCGGCGUGCCUAAUACAUGCAAGUCGAGCGGACCUUUCGGGGUCAGCGGCGGACGGGUGAGUAACACGUGGGCAAUCUGCCCGAUACUCUGGGAUAACGCUUGGAAACGAGUGCUAAUACCGGAUGGUCUUCUUGGCCGCAUGGCCGAGAAGGAAAAGACGCGUUCGCGUCGGUGUCGGAUGAGCCCGCGGCGCAUUAGCUAGUUGGUGAGGUAACGGCCCACCAAGGCGACGAUGCGUAGCCGACCUGAGAGGGUGACCGGCCACACUGGGACUGAGACACGGCCCAGACUCCUACGGGAGGCAGCAGUAGGGAAUCUUCCACAAUGGGCGAAAGCCUGAUGGAGCAACGCCGCGUGAGUGAUGAAGGCCUUCGGGUUGUAAACUCUGUCAUUCGGGACGAACCGGAGUCUGAGGAAAUGCAGACUCUCUGACGGUACCGGAGGAGGAAGCCCCGGCUAAC
RNAcentral lists this ribosomal RNA (473 nucleotides) under uncultured bacterium. Its description in RNAcentral is "bacterial SSU rRNA". It matches the Rfam family "Bacterial small subunit ribosomal RNA", at positions 28 to 501 of the family's 1533-position model. The record is from RNAcentral.